CCUUGAUCUCUUGGAUCACUCUUUCUGGGGAAGCUGGCCAGCACUCUGUGAGGACACUCAAGCCUCUCUGUAGAAAGAUCCACAUGAGGAAUACCUGAGGCCUCCUGCCAAAAACCAGCACCAACUUGCCAGCCUUCUUGGCUGGAGAAUGGGAAAGUUGCUUCUUCAAGAUGGCCCAAACCAUGGACCCACGAAAAGGACCCAAGUGUGUAGAAGAUCAGGACAUCUUUACCUGAAUGUUCUAGACUCCAUGAGACCCAGAGACUCCUAGAAAAUGUGACUGACAGAAAAUGCUCCUCCAUCCAGGAAGGUGAAGACUUGGAAGAGCUAUAUCAGAUUUAGGGGAAAGAAUAAUGGCAAUUUUUUGCAUCAAAUAAUGUAAAAUAAAAUUAAAACCCACUAUAAGAUAUUAAGCAAGAUCUGCAACAUGUCCCUCGUUAUACAGAUGAGAAAAUUAAGAACCAGGAGAUUAGAAAGUGAUUCCUUGCCUGCUGACCCUACAUUCCUCUGUCCUGGUGGAUGUUGCCAGAUGUUCUUUCCGCCUUACUCUCAGGACAUCAGUCCCCUGAAUUUUACAGGCCCGCUGGCACUUCUUUCUCAACAAGCUAAUAUUGGCAACCCGAACUGAAAGCCUCAGUUUGCAUCUAGUAUUCUCUUACUUUUCUUUCUCAACCCGAAUUCCAUUGUCCACAGCUUUUUCCAGUGCUUUGCAUUCCCUUCUCUGCACCUCCGUGGCAACCUCUGUCAUGAUGUGAAAAGAGCCAGCUUUCAAUCCCAACUGGACCACCAACCAGCUGUGAAAACCUGUGCACUUCAACUGCUAUGAACCUCAGUCUCAUUCUCUCUCCCUGCAUCAUGGAGUUGCUGUGAGGAAGAGUGAUAACGAACAUGGAGGACCAGCUUAGUAUCCAGCACAAAGUUCCUUGGUAAACAGGAGCCUCUGUAGCCUGGCCACCCUGUCUUAUGAUCACUGAUUCACAUGUCCUUCAUUCAACCUCCUGGAAGGCAGCAUCUGUGUCAUCUCUGCCUGUACCUCCAGCCCCUAGCCCAGGGCUUAAUGGCACAUAGGCACUCCAUUAACUCAUUACUCAGACAUUACUGAGGUGGAGAAAUAGAUACUGUGGUUACAGAGUGGCUCCGACAAGAUUUAGACUCUCAAGGAAGUUACAUUUGAGUAAGUGAGAUAAAAACACAGACAACCAAAGGCUGAGUUCUUAGAACUGAGUUGUAAUUUUUGGCUUUUCUUGACCUUUUAAUACGAUGGGCAAUGUUUCAGCUGGUGUCAAAAUAGUUGACCCAGGUGGGCAAAAAGUCAUUAAGUAUGAAAGCACUUCGAUUAAGGAAUAUUUUAUUUUCCAUGGGGUCUUUGAGAGCUUAGAGAAAAAUAGAAGCAAUGGUGAAAUAACAGCGAACAGACUCCUGCAAUUAAACGUGGUUUCACUUAAGUAUCACUUUCAGAUAGUGUCAAGUUAAAGCAUUUAAGAAGAUUGCUGAAAAAAGGAGGCUUCCUUCUUAAUCUAAGUGAGAUGCUGGCACGGGAGGCCUCCAAAGGGAAACUGCCAGAUGCUGUUUUAUGCACUCGGCGUGUUUGUGCCUAACAUCUCCUUAGCGGUUUUGAAUUCUACAUUGUCUGCAAAAUUGCCACUUCAUUAAAAUUGCCUCAGAAAUUCCCUUUUAAACGAUGCAGGUAGUCAAUUAGCAUCUGUCCUGCCUAGUUUGCAUUUGAGAAAUGCAGGAAUUAUUUUCAAGGAUACCUUUAUUUAAUCUUGAAUUUCCUGUGUUUUCAGGAAAAAUGCUGGUUAGUCAAGGACACCUGAGGGAUGACAUUUUAAAAUCAAUAUAUUUAAGGUUUCUCUUCGUUUAAACUGUUAGGAGCUAAAAAUUCCUAAAGUUUGAUGUUCUUGUUGCCAUAUAUAUGCCCUAAAUCCCCAACAUAAUUUUGCGUUAGUUUAGACAAUAGUCUCUUACCAUUUGAUGGUCAUUAGGAUUUGUGUAAGUGUGUAUUAUAAAGAUAGAGAGAUAGAGAUGGCAAGGUAGGGAAAAAUUUAGUUUAAUUUGUAAAUUAAAAAAGCAAUAUACAUACACAGAGAAUAUUCAGCCUGGAGUCAAACAAAUCAGUGUGGUUUGUUCCAGGCUGGGGUCAAGGCUUACUAUAGUUAAGCAUCUAAAGUUUAUUUCUUAGGAGAAAAUAAUGGUACAUUCAAAGACAGUGGUAGAAAGAGGAAAAUUUUCUUAGACGGCAGGAGCCAAGGUGAUAACAUUUGAUGGGUUGCAUGAACAAUAUUGGACAAGCCUGGUAAAAAUAGACAAAAUAUGUGGAAUUUGG
This 2326-nucleotide long non-coding RNA is filed under the name Equus caballus (horse). Its description in RNAcentral is "lncRNA (ENSECAG00000038115.3)". Lineage: Eukaryota; Metazoa; Chordata; Mammalia; Perissodactyla; Equidae. The record is from RNAcentral.